RNAcentral lists this ribosomal RNA (398 nucleotides) under uncultured bacterium. RNAcentral describes it as "bacterial SSU rRNA". It matches the Rfam family "Bacterial small subunit ribosomal RNA", at positions 358 to 773 of the family's 1533-position model. The record is from RNAcentral.
GGAAUAUUGGACAAUGGGGGCAACCCUGAUCCAGCCAUGCCGCGUGAGUGAAGAAGGCCUUCGGGUUGUAAAGCUCUUUUGGCGGGGACGAUGAUGACGGUACCCGCAGAAUAAGCCCCGGCUAACUUCGUGCCAGCAGCCGCGGUAAGACGAAGGGGGCUAGCGUUGUUCGGAAUUACUGGGCGUAAAGCGCGCGUAGGCGGACUAUUAAGUCAGGGGUGAAAUCCCGGGGCUCAACCCCGGAACUGCCUUUGAUACUGGUAGUCUUGAGUUCGAGAGAGGUGAGUGGAAUUCCGAGUGUAGAGGUGAAAUUCGUAGAUAUUCGGAGGAACACCAGUGGCGAAGGCGGCUCACUGGCUCGAUACUGACGCUGAGGUGCGAAAGCGUGGGGAGCAAAC